RNAcentral lists this ribosomal RNA (245 nucleotides) under uncultured bacterium. Its description in RNAcentral is "partial 16S ribosomal RNA". It matches the Rfam family "Bacterial small subunit ribosomal RNA", at positions 554 to 793 of the family's 1533-position model. The record is from RNAcentral.
GUUAACUUGGGCGGUAAAGACGCAUGCAGGUGGUUGUUAAGUCAGAUGUGAAGACCGGGCGUCAACCUCGGAACUGCAUUUGAAACUGGCAGACUAGAGUACUGUAGAGGGGGUAGAAUUUCAGGUGUAGCGGUGAAAUGCGUAGAGAUCUGAAGGAAUACCGGUGGCAAAGGCGGCCCCCUGGACAGAUACUGACACUCAGAUGCGAAAGCGUGGGGAGCAAACAGGAUUAGACACCCUGGUAG